UUCCCUUGCUAUAUUUUAUUAUAUUUAUUAAUAAAAUGAGUAUUCCAUUAAAGCAAGGGAGGAGGUUCUGCUUUACCCUUUGGGAAGAUUUUUGUUUUAAACAAAAUAUAUUCAGUACGGAAGUCAAAUAUUGUGUUAUUGGAGCAGAGAAGAGUCCAUCUACCCUGAGAGACCAUUAUCAAGGGUUCAUCUCCUUCACGAAUGUGAAGAGACCUGGUGCUGUGAAAGAUUUCCUUGGUUCUCAAACAGUGCAUUUAACUAAUGCCACUGGUUCAGAUCUACAGAACAAGGUGUAUUGUUCUAAAGAAGGUUAUGUUAUCUUUGAGCUUGGUGAGCCUGUAGCCCCUGGUCAGCAUAAGAGGAAGAGGAUCCAACUAUGUGAAGAAGACCCUGAGAGUGCUAAGAUUGAGUAUCCGGACAUGUAUAACAGAUACAUAUGUUUACAGAAGAGAAAGGCCUUCAUAGAAAAUUAUGCUGACGUGCACCCCCGUCAUCCAUGGCAGAAUAUUCUUAUGGAAUAUAUAUCAGGAUCUCCUGAUCAUAGAUCUAUCUACUGGAUCUACGGUCCAGAUGGUGGAGAAGGUAAAACGGAAUUCUCUAAGCUAUUGGAGGCAAAAUAUAAUUAUUUUGUUGUGAAGCCUACCAAGAUUGAAAACAUGAUGUAUUAUUACGUAGAUGAUAAUACUACGAAGCAUGCUUGUGUUGAUAUUCCUAGAAGAGUUCAGCAGAGUCACUAUGACGCCAUAUAUGAUUUCAUAGAGAGUGUUAAGGACAGAAUGAUUCAGAGCACCAAAUACAGACCUGUGAAGUAUAGAGAAUUAAAUUUGGUGCAUUGUAUUGUAAUGAGUAAUCAGCUUCCUGAUUACGAAAAGAUAUCAUCUGAUAGAAUUAUAUUAAUUGAAUGUAAUCCAUAGUCCCUGCACUAAGGGCCUUGUAUUGUUGAAGACAUUUAUCUCCAUUAAUUUCUAAUUAGAUUAUGGGCUUCCGUAGGGAUCCUUGUAGAACAGACUAUAUGGGGAAGCUGUGCAUUGUUUGGGUUUUUCAAAUGUGGAUGGAAUGCUUACCUUUGUUUCUUGAAAAGUGGAGUUGCUCUACUUCUUCCUUGACAAACCAAAUUAUCAUUUAUUCUUCCCAAGUCUGAUAUAAGGUUGGUCACUUGUCUUUCAACAGUUUUAGAAAUUGUUGAUAAACUAAAUGAGAUAUAUAAUGCAGGUUAGGAGGGGUGCAGAUAGAGCAGAAAUAUAUAGUCUGGCAUUCUCUUUAACUGCCCAGUGGCUGGCAGUCUCAAGCGACAAGGGCACUGUCCAUGUUUUUGGUCUAAAGGCUAAUUUGGGAAACCUGGGAAGUGAUAAGUCACAUGGUGCAUCUGAUCCCAAUCAUGCUGUUUCAUCACCCACUUCAUCACUCUCUUUUAUAAAAGCUUCUAUCGUUGCCAGUUUGAUCCAGUGAGUGGUGGAGAGAUGACUCAGUUGGAAUAUCACAACUUCCUAAAGCCUGAAGAAGCUUUUUAGGAGAGGGUUUGAAUACCCUAACUUCUUCAUUGUUGUAUACAAUACUGUUCCCAUUUGUGUGUAUCAUUUGGUUCUCUUCCAAAUAGGAGGAGAAUAUUAUGUUGUAAAUAUGAUUAUUUGUUACUCACAUUUGACAAUUUGCAACUGUUUUAACCACCAAAAAGUGUAACAAAACAUAUUCACAUCUGUAAAUAUUCAAGUAUCUCGUAAUUAUAUUUAUGUCAAGCUUUCUA
Molecule: non-coding RNA, 1744 nt
Organism: Camellia sinensis
Lineage: Eukaryota; Viridiplantae; Streptophyta; Magnoliopsida; Ericales; Theaceae
Source: RefSeq, a predicted model, not a curated record